Molecule: non-coding RNA, 72 nt
Organism: Phanerochaete sordida
Lineage: Eukaryota; Fungi; Basidiomycota; Agaricomycetes; Polyporales; Phanerochaetaceae
Source: the annotation of a GenBank genome assembly
GGGCACUUGGCGCAGUGGUAGCGCGCUCGCUUUGCAUGCGAAAGGCCAUGGGUUCAAACCCCAUAGUGUCCA